AAGAUAAGAUUUCCCAUGACGAAAGUCAGUAAGACCCCUUGAAGAACACAAGGUUGAUAGGUCGGAGGUGUAAGUGCAGUAAUGUAUUUAGCUGACCGAUACUAAUAGGUCGAGGACUUGACCAA
Molecule: ribosomal RNA, 125 nt
Organism: Clostridium tepidiprofundi DSM 19306
Lineage: Bacteria; Bacillati; Bacillota; Clostridia; Eubacteriales; Clostridiaceae
Rfam family: Bacterial large subunit ribosomal RNA
Source: Rfam